GGUUGCGAUCAUACCAGCACUAAUGCACUUGAUCUCAUUAGAACUCUGCAGUGAAGCGUGCUUAGGCGAGAGUAGUACUAGGAAGGGUGACCUCCUGGGAAGUCCUCGUGUUGCGCCCC
Molecule: ribosomal RNA, 119 nt
Organism: Vitis vinifera (wine grape)
Lineage: Eukaryota; Viridiplantae; Streptophyta; Magnoliopsida; Vitales; Vitaceae
Source: Rfam